Eleginops maclovinus (Patagonian blennie) is the source of this 2184-nucleotide RNA transcript. It is a transcript of the gene named WD repeat-containing protein 5-like, with no coding region annotated. The record is from RefSeq and is a predicted model, not a curated record. The transcript is spliced from 14 exons. Lineage: Eukaryota; Metazoa; Chordata; Actinopteri; Perciformes; Eleginopidae.
AUGCGCAGUAUGCGUGCUCUGCAGCACAUUCUGUAGUUAACAUUUAGCUUCUGUCUGAAAUUCAGAACCAGUUCGGAACCAGUUCAGAACAAGGUCAGAACCCCGCCUGUGUAUUCAGUGCAGGACAGAGCGGGACACAGUGGCUGCAGGACGGAAGGACUUGCUCACAACAUGGCAACGGAGGAGAAGAAACCUGAGACAGAAAACUUAAAGCAGUCCUCCUCAGGAUCCAGCAGCAAGUCUAACACGGCCAAACCGAACUACACAGUGAAGUUUACUCUGGCCGGACACACCAAGGCUGUCUCAUCUGUCAAAUUCAGCCCCAACGGAGAGUGGCUGGCCAGCUCCUCGGCCGAUAAGCUGAUAAAGAUUUGGGGAGCGUUCGACGGAAAGUUUGAGAAAUCCAUCGUCGGACACAAACUGGGAAUCUCCGAUGUCUCCUGGUCUUCAGACUCCAAUCUGCUGGUUUCUGCAUCUGACGACAAAACACUCAAGAUCUGGGACAGCAGCUCUGGGAAGUGUCUAAAGACCCUGAAGGGACAUAGUAACUACGUCUUCUGCUGCAACUUCAACCCUCAGUCCAACCUGGUGGUGUCUGGAUCGUUUGAUGAGAGCGUUCGCAUCUGGGACGUGAAGACGGGAAAAUGUCUGAAGACUCUGCCAGCUCACUCCGACCCCGUCUCUGCUGUCCACUUCAACAGAGACGGCUCGCUCAUCGUCUCCAGCAGCUACGACGGCCUCUGCCGUAUCUGGGACACGGCGUCCGGACAGUGUCUGAAGACCCUGAUAGAUGAUGACAAUCCCCCGGUGUCUUUUGUUAAAUUUUCUCCCAACGGAAAAUACAUCCUGGCUGCUACUCUGGACAACACACUAAAGCUCUGGGACUACAGCAAAGGAAAGUGUCUGAAGACAUAUAACGGACACAAGAACGAGAAAUACUGCAUCUUCGCCAACUUCUCCGUCACAGGAGGGAAGGUGCAGUCACUUUAGCCUUUAACUCCCCCAACAGCACACUGCAAUGUUACUCAAGUUAAAGGAAUUCAGUCCAAUCCGAACAUCCCGAAGUGGAUCGUGUCGGGAUCCGAGGACAGUUUGGUUUACAUCUGGAACCUGCAGACCAAAGAGAUCGUUCAGAAGCUGCAGGGACACACAGACGUGGUGAUCUCCACUGCCUGUCACCCGACAGAAAACAUCAUCGCUUCAGCUGCGCUGGAAAACGACAAAACCAUCAAACUGUGGAGGAGUGACUGUUAGACUGAUCCAGACCCUGAUCCAGAACCAGAAACAGAACACAUUAUUACUGAGAUCCACAGAAACUGUCCCGUCUUCCCGUUAAAACUGAAGGACGAGUUCAGUGUUUUUGUAACGGAGAGCAGCGACGGAGGUUCAUCAGAUUAAAAAAAAUACAUUGUUCAACAUCGAAGUUAUUAAUUGACCAGGAAAGACUGAGCAAAGUAAAAUGCCAACCUGCCACUUUAGUCUUAGAAAAUGUCAUCUUUUUUCAGGAUAAUUUACACAUUUAGAUUCUUAGAGAAGUUCAUUAUUUUUCCCUCUCCGGCUCCGACAGGAUUCUCUUAGGGCUUUUAUUCCUGAUCGUUUUCCUUUGUUUCUGAUCAUCGGGAAGCUCUUUAAAUAAUCACACCAAGAGAGGAAGAGGAUUUUAUUUUUAAAUUGUUCUUUUGUAUGUGAUUGUAUUGUAGUGAAGAUCUUUCCCUCUUGAAAGACUUUGGUGUGAAACUCAAACCAGUAAAGGAUGAUUCUGUUGGUGAAUGCAGAUAUAUUUUAAGACAGUUUCAAUAUGUUGGUCAGUGAAUGCACCACGCGCGUUAGUGAAGACUUUAUGAAGCACAGAGACCCUUAAUGUUUGAUUUCUAAGAACCGAAACUUAAAGUUCAUCCCAAAAGAAUGUUUGAAGGAGUCUGUGGUGGAAAACUGUGACGGAGUUUGUUUAGUUUUUUAUAAAUAUAAUGUCUGAUCCUUUUUCUCUGAUGAUUGUCCUCUUAUUUAAUGGCUCUAUAGACCGGGAUAAAACACUGAACUGGCCCUUUAGUUAAAAUAAUUUAAAAAAUAUAAAACACUGAGAGACUGCAGCUGUGUGGCGUUCACUGACUCUCUGAGUUGUGGGAACAAACCGUUUCUUUCUGUUCUAUUCAGUUAUUUGUAAAUAAAGAUUUUUGAUUAUGA